This 254-nucleotide ribosomal RNA is filed under the name uncultured bacterium. RNAcentral's name for it is "partial 16S ribosomal RNA". It matches the Rfam family "Bacterial small subunit ribosomal RNA", at positions 524 to 776 of the family's 1533-position model. The record is from RNAcentral.
UACGGGGGGAGCAAGCGUUGUUCGGAUUUACUGGGCGUAAAGGGCGCGUAGGCGGCCAGCACAAUUCAGUUGUGAAAUCUCCGAGCUUACCUCGGAACGGUCAACUGAUACUGUGCGGCUAGAGUGCGGAAGGGGCAACUGGAAUUCUUGGUGUAGCGGUGAAAUGCGUAGAUAUCAAGAGGAACACCUGCGGCGAAGGCGGGUUGCUGGGCCGACACUGACGCUGAUGCGCGAAAGCCAGGGGAGCGAACGGG